GUAGGUGAACCUGCGGAAGGAUCAUUAAUGAAACUUCAAAGUCGGCUCUGUUCUGUGCUGGUGUUCACUCACAUGUGCACGUUUGGGUCGCAAAUCCACACACCUGUGCAUCUUAUGACUCUGAGCACCGCUUUGCAUGGUCGAAAGACCUGUUGCUCGAGUAACUUUUACACACUCUGAAUGUAAUGGAAUGUCUUUUUGUGCAUAAUGUACAACUAAAACAACUUUCAACAACGGAUCUCUUGGCUCU
RNAcentral lists this unclassified non-coding RNA (250 nucleotides) under plant metagenome. Its description in RNAcentral is "partial contains small subunit ribosomal RNA, internal transcribed spacer 1, and 5.8S ribosomal RNA". The record is from RNAcentral.